CACGUAGGGUGCGAGCGUUGUCCGGAAUUAUUGGGCGUAAAGAGCUCGUAGGCGGUGUGUCACGUCGGCCGUGAAAACCUGCAGCUUAACUGUGGGCGUGCGGUCGAUACGGGCAUCACUGGAGUUCGGCAGGGGAGACUGGAAUUCCUGGUGUAGCGGUGAAAUGCGCAGAUAUCAGGAGGAACACCGGUGGCGAAGGCGGGUCUCUGGGCCGUAACUGACGCUGAGGAGCGAAAGCGUGGGGAGCGAACAGG
This 254-nucleotide ribosomal RNA is filed under the name uncultured bacterium. RNAcentral describes it as "partial 16S ribosomal RNA". It matches the Rfam family "Bacterial small subunit ribosomal RNA", at positions 524 to 776 of the family's 1533-position model. The record is from RNAcentral.